GAGGGUAUAUCUCAAGUGGUAGAGUUCAUACUCAGCAUUCAUGAGGUCCUGGGUUCAAUCCCCAGUACCUCCU
RNAcentral lists this transfer RNA (73 nucleotides) under Camelus bactrianus (Bactrian camel). It matches the Rfam family "tRNA". From Rfam's summary of the family: Transfer RNA (tRNA) molecules are approximately 80 nucleotides in length. Their secondary structure includes four short double-helical elements and three loops (D, anti-codon, and T loops). Further hydrogen bonds mediate the characteristic L-shaped molecular structure. tRNAs have two regions of fundamental functional importance: the anti-codon, which is responsible for specific mRNA codon recognition, and the 3' end, to which the tRNAs corresponding amino acid is attached (by aminoacyl-tRNA synthetases). tRNAs cope with the degeneracy of the genetic code in two manners: having more than one tRNA (with a specific anti-codon) for a particular amino acid; and 'wobble' base-pairing, i.e. permitting non-standard base-pairing at the 3rd anti-codon position. Lineage: Eukaryota; Metazoa; Chordata; Mammalia; Artiodactyla; Camelidae. RNAcentral also lists the same sequence under 2 other names. The record is from Rfam by way of RNAcentral.